CUGAAAACAUGCAUCUUGGAGAAAAUAAUGAUCACGAACAUGAAUCUAUAGCACUGUUAAACACAGGACAAAUUUUCCGAGAUGAGUAAUAACUCGUAUGGUCAUUCCCUCCUGAGGAUUACAUGCAAGAGAAUCCUACAUUAAAAUGAAACAAGGAAGCAUAAGUGUCUUAUAUUAUUUGCUGGGUCAUCCAAGUUCUCUUCACUCAGAAAUCAUCCCGGAAAUGUAAAUGUAUCAAAAGUUGCAGUCUUUCAUAUGCCAGGCAGACUCAUGCCUCUGCUUCGGGUUUCUCAAAGAAAGUUUUCUUAAUCCAGUCAAAUGGC
This 323-nucleotide long non-coding RNA is filed under the name Oryza brachyantha (malo sina). RNAcentral describes it as "long non-coding RNA (OBRA_LNC002137)". Lineage: Eukaryota; Viridiplantae; Streptophyta; Magnoliopsida; Poales; Poaceae. The record is from RNAcentral.